CACGUAGGCGGCUUCUUAAGUCAGGGGUGAAAUCCUGGAGCUCAACUCCAGAACUGCCUUUGAUACCGAGAAGCUUGAGUCCGGGAGAGGUGAGUGGAACUGCGAGUGUAGAGGUGAAAUUCGUAGAUAUUCGCAAGAACACCAGUGGCGAAGGCGGCUCACUGGCCCGGUACUGACGCUGAGGUGCGAAAGCGUGGGGAGCAAACA
This 207-nucleotide ribosomal RNA is filed under the name uncultured bacterium. RNAcentral describes it as "partial 16S ribosomal RNA". It matches the Rfam family "Bacterial small subunit ribosomal RNA", at positions 568 to 774 of the family's 1533-position model. The record is from RNAcentral.